This is a long non-coding RNA of Rosa rugosa (rugosa rose), 510 nucleotides long. RefSeq lists it as uncharacterized. NCBI's taxonomy places the organism in Eukaryota, Viridiplantae, Streptophyta, Magnoliopsida, Rosales, Rosaceae. The transcript is spliced from 2 exons. The record is from RefSeq and is a predicted model, not a curated record.
CACAGGUCCAACUAAAUAACUUGGGAGAUCAACUUGGUCUAGAUACUUAUGGCCGAACUUGAAGUAAACGAUUAAGCGAGAGCUCAAUUGGGUAGUAAUUAAACCAUGAAGCUUGGGAACUUACUUUAUGAGUUCCAGUGUUAGUGGUAAUUGUGAAUGUUCAAAUCUAUCUGUGCUGUUUGUGUUAAUUACUGCGAUAGCGAAUCUAACGCUGCACCAGCAAUGUCGUUAACAGACGCUGCACAACCCAACAAGCAGAAAACUGACUGCAGCAGCUUAUCAUUGCAACUCUUGCACCACUUUUUGUAUAGAUAGAACUGGAGCGAGCAAUUUUUUCAUAGGCUAACACCUUUUGUAUAGAUACCCCUAGACCCACUAUUUUUCGGAAAAUGUUCCAGCAACAACUGUAACAAAGUGAACCUCAAACUUAAAUAGCCUAUUUGUUCAACAGUCCACUAUGAUAAGAUCAUCUUUUGUUUUAGAUGAUCUACAGUAAUGAAAAAAGUUCUA